UGUUCUAUGGAUACUUCUUGCUAUAAAAAAUGCUUGUGGUUGAUAAAUUGAUGUGUCAAAAAUGUGCAGCUCAUAUCAAGUGUUGGGUGUGAUCAUAGUUUACAUCUUACAGAAUUUGAUAGCUCGUAAUAAAAGUAUACUACUACUUGAAUGCAGCUUUGCAAUUAUAUAACAUGUAUGUAUGCCGCAAAUCUGUAAGGAACCGCUUGGUUAGCGAUGUCCUGUUCCCUCCCAUAAAUACCAUGUACAUGCUAAAAUAGAAAAUAAGAAAAAAAAACUAUAUAUACAGAACAUGCACCAUUAUACAGUCCUGGACAUCUAAUCCUUCUAGUUUUUUCAUAACUUAUUCUCUUCCGAAAUUCCUUUGGUCAUACUACAGCCACUGCCUCUGCUAUUAAAGGUAUAGCUACUUAUUUCUAAUAAGGUUGUUAUUUGGCUUAGAGGAGUUGCGAGUGACAAAUGGUUUUGGUGGUGUUGUUCUCAGCCCUGUUGGGACACAUUGUGUAUCCAAGGAAGAUCAUCCUAUCGUGCAAAGAAAAGGAUUGGCCGUGGUUGACUGUUCUUGGGCACGUUUAGAUGAUGUUCCUUUCGCGAAACUCCGUUGUGGUGCUCCUCGUCUCUCGGGGAGAAAGAUACCGGAAACUGCUGCUUGCCAAAUUCAAGUGGGGUCACUCAUUCUUAUCACUUAACAGAUCAGUUCAGUAAAAAAAAAUGUCACAUAUAGGUUUGCAGUGAAUUUCGGAAUAUGUACACCACUGUACUUGUUAGAUGGGGCAACCAAUGAGAUGUGUGUUAAGUAAUACCAUUGUCCUGCAAAACACAAAUCUCAAUAGCUGUUACAUAGAUGAAGCAAAGUAUUUCGGACUAUGUAGCACAAUGUACUUGUUAGAUAGGGUAAGCAUCAGAUAUUUGUCAAAUAUAUCAUUUUCCUGCAAAGCACAAAUCCCAAUAACUGUUACACAUCAGAUAUUUGUUAAAUAUACCAUUGUCCUGCAAAGCACAAACUCCAAUAAUUGUUACAUAGAUCAAACAACUUAAUUCUGGCUCUACAUGCGAACUGCUGACCGAAAUACUAAUUAUCAGUUGCAAUGCCACGAUAAUCCAGGCCGUCCUGCCUAAGGCACUGUGCAGCUGUGCUGCAUUUUUAACAUUGUCAAGUAAGCUUUAGAAGACGGCGUAUUACAGAGAUCUGCUGAAAGCAUACUCCAAGUGUUAGAAUGGCACCGAGAUAAUCAACGUGCAGAACUCGUGGUUAGCCAGUGCCACAAGUGUGCCCAAGUCACCUGUAAACGGUGUCAAUCGCAUCACCUCUCGGAGUAUUUGAAUCGGCAGAGAAAUCACAGCAAAGCACGGAGGAAGGAUCGGAUGAUGAUUCUGACGAUGGCUUGCCUCCUCUGGAGGAGAACAUGAACCACUUGAACCUUAGCGAAGACGAGGAAGAAAGCGAAACCGAGUAAGAGAAGGUAUCAUCACUAAGUUAUGCUUGAGGCCAGUGAACUUUAUGCCGCGCGACACAAGAGGAUAUUUGUUUGUUUGUCCAAUGGAAAUAAGAGCCAAGUGUGAUGAUGUGUCGUGGAUCUUAAGACAAGUGUUUGUAUACUUGUAGUGCUUGCUUCAUACCAGUAUAUGUACAACUCUUGGUCUGUGAUGGUCGCGUGGACAUGACGGAUCCUGGCAAUCGUCAACUCCACGGCUUCACGUUCUUGACUCCUAGCCAGUGGCUUCGACAACUGCGAGACCAUCAGUUGGCCGAGCCGGGAAGAUACCCUCGAUCGUACACCUGUUUCUAAGGUUGUAAAGCGUCCAGAAAAGUGCAGCGAAACAGAUCUGAAGGACCCGCUUAGCGUGACCAUCAUGACCAUGCAAGAACCUAAGCACAUCUGCGAAGCAAGCGGGGUUUAACGAGCACCCGACCAUUCCUGAGCUGCACUCUACAUAAAUCUAGCCAAAGCGCACGAGAAAAAAUGUGAUUGCAAUCUUCAACCUUCCCAUCGAAUGAUUCCCUUAGAAACAAAACAAAAAAUAGGAGUUAAAUUUGCUACGAUUAACAAUUCUCACCGGACAUGGUGUUUUUCUC
Molecule: non-coding RNA, 2077 nt
Organism: Lolium perenne
Lineage: Eukaryota; Viridiplantae; Streptophyta; Magnoliopsida; Poales; Poaceae
Source: RefSeq, a predicted model, not a curated record